RNAcentral lists this ribosomal RNA (253 nucleotides) under uncultured bacterium. RNAcentral's name for it is "partial 16S ribosomal RNA". It matches the Rfam family "Bacterial small subunit ribosomal RNA", at positions 524 to 776 of the family's 1533-position model. The record is from RNAcentral.
UACAGAGGUCCCGAGCGUUGUUCGGAUUCACUGGGCGUAAAGGGUGCGUAGGUGGCUUGGAAAGUUUGAUGUGAAAGCUCAGGGCUUAACCCUGAAAUGGCAUUGAAUACUGCCGGGCUGGAGGUUUGGAGGGGGGACUGGAAUUCUUGGUGUAGCAGUGAAAUGCGUAGAUAUCAAGAGGAACACCAGUGGCGAAGGCGAGUCCCCGGACAACACCUGACACUGAGGCACGAAAGCUAGGGGAGCAAACAGG